AACCCCGGGCCGGAGGUCAAGGGCGUCGCUUCUCCCUAAUGUUGCCUCUUUUCCACGGCCUCAG
This is a microRNA precursor of Gorilla gorilla gorilla (western lowland gorilla), 64 nucleotides long. Lineage: Eukaryota; Metazoa; Chordata; Mammalia; Primates; Hominidae. The record is from Ensembl.